AAAAAUGAUGGAAGCCCAUGAUGAAAAAUGCAAAUUAGUGAAUGAAGGCACAUCAAUUUUGCCUGAUAUUAACUUGGGAAAGAAACCAGAGACAAAUGAUUAUAAUCCCUCAACCGAAAUAGUAGUUUACAAUCCAGACAUGGAUUGAACAAAUGGAGAGGAUGGUCCAGGCCAAAACCAAGUUUACCUU
Long non-coding RNA from Salvia splendens (bonfire salvia), 190 nucleotides. RefSeq lists it as uncharacterized. The record is from RefSeq and is a predicted model, not a curated record. Lineage: Eukaryota; Viridiplantae; Streptophyta; Magnoliopsida; Lamiales; Lamiaceae. The transcript has 3 exons.